GAAGAGAUUUGCAAGAUAUGCAGUGGCAUUAGCAGAAGCAGCAAGCACUUUUCCUAGUUCAUGUAUGUGAGAAUACAACGUCAAGCGU
Long non-coding RNA from Sinocyclocheilus grahami, 88 nucleotides. RefSeq lists it as uncharacterized. The record is from RefSeq and is a predicted model, not a curated record. The transcript has 4 exons. NCBI's taxonomy places the organism in Eukaryota, Metazoa, Chordata, Actinopteri, Cypriniformes, Cyprinidae.